RNAcentral lists this unclassified non-coding RNA (231 nucleotides) under Hevea brasiliensis (rubber tree). The record is from RNAcentral. Lineage: Eukaryota; Viridiplantae; Streptophyta; Magnoliopsida; Malpighiales; Euphorbiaceae.
GGGGGUGGUUUGGGUGUGGGUGGUGGGUUUGAGGGGGAGAGAGAAGGGGAGUGAACUUGUGUGCCAGAUGCUAUCUAAACUCAUUGCCAGGCUUUCCUGAGAAAGAUAUCUUUGAUUGACUAUAGAUCUUUAACCAUCUCAUUGCUAGGCAAGAUAUCUUUUAUUGUAACUAUAGAUCUUUAACCAUCUCAAAGCUCUCAUUUAUUGCUCUAUAUGUUAAAUAUGCGCCCG